Molecule: non-coding RNA, 28 nt
Filed under: Mus musculus (house mouse)
Lineage: Eukaryota; Metazoa; Chordata; Mammalia; Rodentia; Muridae
Source: RNAcentral
UCUUCAGCCACACAUUUGUGAAGACGAG